Paramuricea clavata is the source of this 254-nucleotide non-coding RNA. The record is from the annotation of a GenBank genome assembly. Lineage: Eukaryota; Metazoa; Cnidaria; Anthozoa; Malacalcyonacea; Plexauridae.
AGUUCUUGAGCCUUAACCACUCUGAGUCUUAUUAUCGGCCAUUAGUUUUAAAAUGUCUGCCAGUUCUCGAGAAGUCAGUUUUGGAUCGCCACCUGCAACUUCAACUGAGACGAUUUUCGUGUUCAUUGGAUCUUUACAUGUUUUCACGUUUUUUUCUUCCUUCGUCGAAUUUCUAUUCUUGAUCUGGAUUUCUCGCAAUGGAACCGGAGAGGUAGACAUAUUCUUGUGCUGUCCAAGAUGUGUAACACUCAAAC